Molecule: ribosomal RNA, 422 nt
Filed under: uncultured bacterium
Lineage: Bacteria
Description: bacterial SSU rRNA
Rfam family: Bacterial small subunit ribosomal RNA
Source: RNAcentral
UCAGGCCUAACACAUGCAAGUCGAACGGCAGCAUAGGUGCUUGCACCUGAUGGCGAGUGGCGAACGGGUGAGUAAUACAUCGGAACGUGCCCAGUCGUGGGGGAUAACGUAGCGAAAGUUACGCUAAUACCGCAUACGAUCUAAGGAUGAAAGCGGGGGACCGUAAGGCCUCGCGCGAUUGGAGCGGCCGAUGUCAGAUUAGGUAGUUGGUGAGGUAAAGGCUCACCAAGCCGACGAUCUGUAGCUGGUCUGAGAGGACGACCAGCCACACUGGGACUGAGACACGGCCCAGACUCCUACGGGAGGCAGCAGUGGGGAAUUUUGGACAAUGGACGCAAGUCUGAUCCAUCAAGGGCCGCGUGCAGGACGAAGGCCUUCGGGUUGUAAUUUGUAGGGGUACGGAACGAAAAAGCUCUUACUAA